This is a long non-coding RNA of Gasterosteus aculeatus aculeatus (three-spined stickleback), 2635 nucleotides long. The record is from Ensembl. Lineage: Eukaryota; Metazoa; Chordata; Actinopteri; Perciformes; Gasterosteidae.
AUCAGAUUCACUUUUCUACUAAAAUGGGAAUCUUCAAGUGAGAAAGUCUGGAAUCUCCGCACCGGCUCGUGAGCAUAUUUGUGAUAUAUUAUUAUAAAUUCUGUUUUGAUAAAAGACGACAGGUCUUCUGAGAAGCUUUAACAAUGUGUUGGAACAGGUCUGAGUUCUGAGAAUGAUCACACUCUUGGGUCACUUGAUCUGUUGCUCAACAAGGCUUUCCUUCCUACUCAAACCCAAAACGUAAAACAUUAACCGUAGCUGCAUAAUAAAAACCUCCACCUUUUUUGUCCACAUCCAAAAUGAGAAAGUAAAAACGUGAUUUAACAUGAGAUAGCUUUUUUUUUUUACGUUUCUAAAACACUAAAAGUGCCACACAGACUACAAUAUCUCAAAGAGAUGAAUCUGACAGUGGAAAAUCCCCAUGGAGUUUCCCAUGAGGUCAGUUAUUGGUGAGAUACCUCAAAAACCAUUGGGGGAGAUUUAUAGAGGUUUUCAGACAUCUGCAUGGAAACCUUUCAACGGAGUAACCAGAGACAUCUUUUUGUUUAACGUCCACUAACGAGCAAAACAUGGCGGUUGUUUACAUUCAAUGACAAGAAGAAGGAAAAAAAAACAUGGCGGUUGUUUUGUAGGUCAGACCUAAAAUAUCUCAAAUUGACUUAUUGCGCCCUCAGUUAAUCAAUAAAUAAUUUAAUAUUAAACAUGAAUAAAAAGUAGUAGACUAAUAACUGAAGAAGAACGCGUGUGUGUGUGUGUGUGUGUGUGUGUGUGUGUGUGUGUGUGUGUGUGUGUGUGGGUGAGAGGGAGGGGGGGGGGUGUAAGACGCUAUUCCAUUGGAUAGUUUUCGCCCCCCCUCUUCGAUCUGCUCAGCAUUCAGGAAGCGAUCGCUGCCUCUGACGCCAUGAGGUCACAGUUGUUCGCCGGCAGAGACGCGCACGGACGCACCGCUCCUGUCCGAUCGUCCGCUUCUCGGCGCUUUAAAAAGAAAAGCGAGCAGGAUUUCUUUCAAGAACUGCGCGGUUGGUCGACAGAGCCGCGAGGGACUAUCAAGGGAGAAAUCGACCCCCUCCGAUAAGUUGUUUUCUUCCGCGAGCCGCAGUUUGCCACUGGAACCAUGGUGGCGGCGGUCAUCCCCUUGUACUUCUUUGGAACGGCGCUGAGCGUCCUCGCAGUCCUCUACGGGAUUGUGGACUCCUUUGGGGGGCUGAUGUACGUCCAGGACUGUCCCCACGUCAUGGACUUUGACUGGCAGACGCAGUGGCAGCUCUCCCCGGGCCGCCAACGGAGAGCAUCUCCUCCGGCCAAGAACGUCGGCUCGUGAGGGGACGCGUCUCGUGUUUUAUUUUGCUGCUGGCUGGACCAUGUGGCCAACGGAUGGAUAUUCAGGACAUCUGACUCUCGUCUGCGCUGAACGGAUUGUUUGAACCAUGUCCACGGGUUCCAGAGAGCUCCCACGUCUGCGCGCGGUGCCUUCAAACGCGGCUCGCGGGCAAACUUGACGCCAGAAAUGUUGCAGCACUACUGAAUCAUUUGCACUAACAAUCGGAAUGUUUUGUCUUUUUCAAUAUUACCGGAUUAAAAUGAUUUGGUUUAAAGGUGUAACAGUGAGUAAAAAAACUGCACCCUCCACAAAUAUUUACUCCGGAUGUUAUACGGUUGUAAGUCGGGUUGAAAAGUAUGUAGUGAAAGACUGAAAGCAAUUUGGAACUAAAGGAAUCUCACGUUGUCGCUAUGAAUACUUAUCAGUCCUCACCCUCUAAGCACAGGAGACAAAACAAGCUCGGCCUCCGAUCUGCCGUGUAGGAAAGAAGAAGUUUAAUCAGUGAUCGUUCCCUUUUCUGGUUGCGCAACAGGAAAGGGAUUAUGUUCACGAGGAUCAUUGUCCCUGUGGUCCGUCAACAAAGGCGCGGGGAAUUCUCCCUGAUGUUUACCCGCUUUCAGGUUAGCGUUUUACUUCCUGUGUGGAUCAGUGUCAUUGGGUCCAGGUUUUAAUGGUCAAAGGUCAAUCUGAGUUCCCACAAUGGAUUUUUGGGCAAGUGUACAUAAGUGAUGACAAUUUCCUACAAUUGUUUUAUUGGAAAACAUUAAAAUGGUUGAGACAUGCAAACCGGUAAUUCUUCCGUCAUGACUUGAUGAGCGGUAAAAGUGAGAGUAUUCCUCGGUGAGAGCCGUUUAGCACAUGUUGAAACGAAUAUCCAGCACACGAUGUGGAAGCUGAACAAUGUGAAUCACGAUUAUCUGUCGCUGAGUCAGUCGGCCCUCAGCCGCGGGACUCCGCAGGCCGACAGCUCGUCAAAAUGAGUGCAAACCCACAUAAACAAACUGAACUACUGAACUCAAGGGUCCCAGGCACGUAAGAUAAGGAAAUACAAAAUGAUGAAAUUACACCUAAAAUAACACACCGUGCUCGUUACUAGAAAAAUGAAAUACCGUCUCAAGCAAAGGGACGUAGUCAUGGUCAGGGUGGAUUAAUAAAAGGUGGAUUAAUCAAUGCGGCUGCUGCUUCGGCUUUGAGCGCGGUGAAACAAAUCACCUCAUUAGACCGGAAUGGAGGAAACGGCACCCAAAUGAAAGCUCGUGGGAAGCUUAGAUUUCCCAAUAUAAGUGACGUAAAUGGUUCAGCUGUGGUUGUAUU